This 250-nucleotide ribosomal RNA is filed under the name uncultured bacterium. Its description in RNAcentral is "partial 16S ribosomal RNA". It matches the Rfam family "Bacterial small subunit ribosomal RNA", at positions 524 to 776 of the family's 1533-position model. The record is from RNAcentral.
UACGAAGGGGGCUAGCGUUGCUCGGAAUUACUGGGCGUAAAGGGCGCGUAGGCGGCACUGUUAGUCAGGCGUGAAAGUCCUGGGCUCAACCUGGGAACUGCGCUUGAUACGGCAGAGCUAGAGGAUGGAAGAGGCUCGCGGAAUUCCCAGUGUAGAGGUGAAAUUCGUAGAUAUUGGGAAGAACACCGGUGGCGAAGGCGGCGAGCUGGUCCAUUACUGACGCUGAGCGCGACAGCGUGGGAGCAACAGG